Molecule: non-coding RNA, 138 nt
Organism: Caenorhabditis elegans
Lineage: Eukaryota; Metazoa; Nematoda; Chromadorea; Rhabditida; Rhabditidae
Source: Ensembl
CUUCUGUCCCCGUCUCCCGCCCUCUCCAUCCGAUAUAAUCCCACCCACCGCGCGCUCCGCCUCCUUUUAUUCCGCCUCCAGUGUCAGUUGCAACGUUGGUGGCACACAAGGCUUGUACAAACUUGCAUAAUUUGAUAU